RNAcentral lists this ribosomal RNA (465 nucleotides) under uncultured bacterium. Its description in RNAcentral is "partial 16S ribosomal RNA". It matches the Rfam family "Bacterial small subunit ribosomal RNA", at positions 28 to 507 of the family's 1533-position model. The record is from RNAcentral.
GACGAACGCUGGCGGCGUGCUUAACACAUGCAAGUCGAACGGAAAGGCCCCUUCGGGGGUACUCGAGUGGCGAACGGGUGAGUAACACGUGAGUAACCUGCCCUUGACUUCGGGAUAACUUCAGGAAACUGGGGCUAAUACCGGAUAGGAAUCCUUGCUGCAUGGUGGGGGUUGGAAAGCUUCGGCGGUUUUGGAUGGACUCGCGGCUUAUCAGCUUGUUGGUGGGGUAGUGGCUUACCAAGGCUUUGACGGGUAGCCGGCCUGAGAGGGCGACCGGCCACAUUGGGACUGAGAUACGGCCCAGACUCCUACGGGAGGCAGCAGUGGGGAAUAUUGCACAAUGGGCGGAAGCCUGAUGCAGCAACGCCGCGUGCGGGAUGACGGCCUUCGGGUUGUAAACCGCUUUCAGCAGGGGCGAAGCUUGUGGUAACGGUACCUGCAGAAGAAGCACCGGCUAACUACGUG